This 620-nucleotide ribosomal RNA is filed under the name uncultured rumen bacterium. Its description in RNAcentral is "bacterial SSU rRNA". It matches the Rfam family "Bacterial small subunit ribosomal RNA", at positions 1 to 637 of the family's 1533-position model. The record is from RNAcentral.
GAUUAGAGUUUGAUCCUGGCUCAGGAUGAACGCUGGCGGCGUGCUUACACAUGCAGUCGAACGAGGUUAUUACAGUUGAAGUUUUCGGAUGGAUACAGUUUUAACCGAGUGGCGGACGGGUGAGUAACGCGUGGGGAACCUGCCCCAUUCCGGGGGAUACCAGUUGGAAACGACUGUUAAUACCGCAUAAGCGCACGGUACCGCAUGGUACAGUGUGAAAAACUCCGGUGGAAUGGGAUGGCCCCGCGUCUGAUUAGGCAGUUGGCGGGGUAACGGCCCACCAAACCGACGAUCAGUAGCCGACCUGAGAGGGUGACCGGCCACAUUGGGACUGAGACACGGCCCAAACUCCUACGGGAGGCAGCAGUGGGGAAUAUUGCACAAUGGGGGAAACCCUGAUGCAGCGACGCCGCGUGAGUGAAGAAGUAUUUCGGUAUGUAAAGCUCUAUCAGCAGGAAGAGAUGACGGUACCUGCACAGAGCCCCGGCUAACUACGUGCCAGCAGCCGCGGUAAUACGUAGGGGCAGCGUUAUCCGGAUUUACUGGGUGUAAAGGGAGCGCAGACGGAAGCCAGUCAGGUGUGAAAGCAUGGGCUCACCCAUGGACUGCACUUGAACUGG